GAUGAACGCUGGCGGCGUGCCUAAUACAUGCAAGUCGAGCGAACAGACGAGGAGCUUGCUCCUCUGACGUUAGCGGCGGACGGGUGAGUAACACGUGGAUAACCUACCUAUAAGACUGGGAUAACUUCGGGAAACCGGAGCUAAUACCGGAUAAUAUAUUGAACCGCAUGGUUCAAUAGUGAAAGACGGUUUUGCUGUCACUUAUAGAUGGAUCCGCGCCGCAUUAGCUAGUUGGUAAGGUAACGGCUUACCAAGGCAACGAUGCGUAGCCGACCUGAGAGGGUGAUCGGCCACACUGGAACUGAGACACGGUCCAGACUCCUACGGAAGGCAGCAGUAGGGAAUCUGCCGCAAUGGGCGAAAGCUUGACGGAGCAACGCCGCGUGAGUGAUGAAGGUCUUCGGAUCGUAAAACUCUGUUAUUAGAGAAGAACAAAUGUGUAAGUAACUAUGCACGUCUUGACGGUACCUAAUCAGAAAGCCACGGCUAACUACGU
Molecule: ribosomal RNA, 496 nt
Filed under: uncultured bacterium
Lineage: Bacteria
Description: partial 16S ribosomal RNA
Rfam family: Bacterial small subunit ribosomal RNA
Source: RNAcentral